CAGCAGCCGCGGUAAUACGUAGGGUGCAAGCGUUAAUCGGAAUUACUGGGCGUAAAGCGUGCGCAGGCGGUUAUAUAAGACAGAUGUGAAAUCCCCGGACUCAACCUGGGAACUGCAUUUGUGACUGUAUAGCUAGAGUACGGCAGAGGGGGAUGGAAUUCCGCGUGUAGCAGUGAAAUGCGUAGAUAUGCGGAGGAACACCGAUGGCGAAGGCAAUCCCCUGGGCCUGUACUGACGCUCAUGCACGAAAGCGUGGGGAGCAAACAGGAUUAGAUACCCGCGUAGUCCCUGUCUCUUAUAC
Molecule: ribosomal RNA, 301 nt
Filed under: uncultured bacterium
Lineage: Bacteria
Description: partial 16S ribosomal RNA
Rfam family: Bacterial small subunit ribosomal RNA
Source: RNAcentral